CCUACGGGAGGCAGCAGUGGGGAAUUUUGGACAAUGGGCGCAAGCCUGAUCCAGCCAUGCCGCGUGUGGGAAGAAGGCCUUCGGGUUGUAAACCACUUUUGUCAGGGAAGAAACGGCUCUUACUAAUAUUAGGGGCUAAUGACGGUACCUGAAGAAUAAGCACCGGCUAACUACGUGCCAGCAGCCGCGGUAAUACGUAGGGUGCAAGCGUUAAUCGGAAUUACUGGGCGUAAAGCGUGCGCAGGCGGCUUUGCAAGACAGAUGUGAAAUCCCCGGGCUCAACCUGGGAACUGCAUUUGUGACUGCAUGGCUAGAGUACGGUAGAGGGGGAUGGAAUUCCGCGUGUAGCAGUGAAAUGCGUAGAUAUGCGGAGGAACACCGAUGGCGAAGGCAAUCCCCUGGACCUGUACUGACGCUCAUGCACGAAAGCGUGGGGAGCAAACAGGAUUAGAUACCCUGGUAGUCCACGCCCUAAACGAUGUCAACUGGUUGUUGGACGGCUUGCUGUUCAGUAACGAAGCUAACGCGUGAAGUUGACCGCCUGGGGAGUACGGCCGCAAGGUUGAAACGUCAAAGGAAUUGACGG
Molecule: ribosomal RNA, 586 nt
Filed under: uncultured bacterium
Lineage: Bacteria
Description: bacterial SSU rRNA
Rfam family: Bacterial small subunit ribosomal RNA
Source: RNAcentral